RNAcentral lists this ribosomal RNA (486 nucleotides) under uncultured Coxiellaceae bacterium. RNAcentral's name for it is "bacterial SSU rRNA". It matches the Rfam family "Bacterial small subunit ribosomal RNA", at positions 30 to 505 of the family's 1533-position model. The record is from RNAcentral. Lineage: Bacteria; Pseudomonadati; Pseudomonadota; Gammaproteobacteria; Legionellales; Coxiellaceae.
AUUGAACGCUAGCGGCAUGCUUAACACAUGCAAGUCGAACGGCAGCGCGGGGAGCUUGCUCCCUGGCGGCGAGUGGCGGACGGGUGAGUAACGCGUAGGAAUCUACCUUAAAGUGGGGGACAACCCGGGGAAACUCGGGCUAAUACCGCAUAAUCUCUACGGAGCAAAGCAGGGGAUCUUCGGACCUUGCGCUUUAAGAUGAGCCUGCGUUAGAUUAGCUUGUUGGUGGGGUAAUGGCCUACCAAGGCGACGAUCUAUAGCUGGUCUGAGAGGACGAUCAGCCACACUGGGACUGAGACACGGCCCAGACUCCUACGGGAGGCAGCAGUGGGGAAUAUUGGACAAUGGGGGCAACCCUGAUCCAGCAAUGCCGCGUGUGUGAAGAAGGCCUUCGGGUUGUAAAGCACUUUCAGUAGAGAAGAAAGGCUUAAGGUUAAUAGCCUUGAGAGUUGACGUUAUCUACAGAAGAAGCACUGGCUAACUCUG